This 253-nucleotide ribosomal RNA is filed under the name uncultured bacterium. RNAcentral's name for it is "partial 16S ribosomal RNA". It matches the Rfam family "Bacterial small subunit ribosomal RNA", at positions 524 to 776 of the family's 1533-position model. The record is from RNAcentral.
UACGGAGGGUGCGAGCGUUGUCCGGAAUUACUGGGCGUAAAGCGCACGUAGGCGGAUUGUUAAGUCGGGGGUGAAAUCCUGGAGCUCAACUCCAGAACUGCCUUCGAUACUGGCGAUCUCGAGUUCGGGAGAGGUGAGUGGAACUGCGAGUGUAGAGGUGAAAUCGGUAGAUAUCGGGAGGAACACCAGUGGCGAAGGCGGCGAUCUGGGAAGAUACUGACGCUGAGGUGCGAAAGCGUGGGGAGCAAACAGG